GGAAUUUUGUUGAACUCCCUUCCGCUUACUAUUUCCAGGAUAAGAGUGGUAACAUGUAUCCACUGCAGGUACUCCAGAGCGUUCGAGAAUCAUUUAGGUGUUGAAAUCUCUUCGUCUUUCCUCUCUAAAUCGGACGAUCCUCCGUUUAAGUGUCGUUAUUCGAAUGAGCUGCUUAGACUUUCUUUCUGGUGAUCUGAAUGAUAUAUGGCGUAUUAGAUGUUAGUCGUUAAAUUAGUUGACUUGAUAGGGUAUCUUAAAGAAUAUCCAUCUUGUUUUACUCGCAAUGAACAAAUGUUCGUUUGGUUGUGAUUUUGAGUACACUGGUUGUACAGUUUGUU
This 338-nucleotide long non-coding RNA is filed under the name Solanum tuberosum (potato). RNAcentral describes it as "long non-coding RNA (STUB_LNC003912)". The record is from RNAcentral. Lineage: Eukaryota; Viridiplantae; Streptophyta; Magnoliopsida; Solanales; Solanaceae.